Long non-coding RNA from Pimephales promelas (fathead minnow), 1673 nucleotides. RefSeq lists it as uncharacterized. The record is from RefSeq and is a predicted model, not a curated record. Lineage: Eukaryota; Metazoa; Chordata; Actinopteri; Cypriniformes; Leuciscidae.
AUAAACACGGAGUUCUGCACUUGUUAGGGUGCAUACGAGAAGAAGAGGAUAAGAGAGAGAGAGAACGUCCACGAACAAAGACAACCAGAAUUUCACCUUUUUUUUAACUAUGUGUGUGAAGGAGGCAGAGAGUGUGUGAAUUUAUGUAUGCGUGAGAGGGCGAUGCAAGGACUAGAUGCAUGCAUGCAGGGAAGUAGCUGAACGUGGAAAUUCAUUCGAACGAACUUUGUGUCUUUGGGUAUCUUCGUAAACGCGUGCAAGUGUGGGCAGGCGUAUCUCUAUGUGAGAAGGGAACUGAAAGGAGAAUUCUAAAAAAACAAGCUUGGCGUGGGACGUGGAGAGAGUGCUGUGACCCCGGAGUGCCACACAUUCAUAUACACAGUUGUAUACACUGGAGAAUCAUUGACAUAUGAAGAGCAAAGAAGAAGAGAGACUGUGAACAGAUGUCUGGCAUCAACCCUUGAAGUGCCUCAACAAGUAUAUGGAUGAGUGUGAUCAAGCGGGGCACUAUUAUUAUUCGUUUGGUCCAUAAAAGAAACAAGGGCAUACAGCAUUAGAAAAACACCAUGGGUUCCACAUAACUGGGUUACGUUAAUCCAAUGAAGCUGUGUAUGAACACUGAAGCAGUGUUAAGUUGAUGACAUAAUAAUGACAUAUAAUGUACGCCUUUGGAAUGGCAUGAGGAUGAGUAUAGCUAAUUAAUGGCAGAAUUUUCAUCUUUGACUGAACUUUAAUUAAAAAAAAACAACAUUUAGCACAAAGCAAAGCAUUAAAACAUUCAAUCGUUCCCUCAAGUAUAACUCCUCCUCAGCAUCUGCACUGCUUACAGUUCUGACAACAAAGCAAACUAUUUAAUGACCUGAGACAGUGAGAAUCUCAGGAAUAUAACAACUCUCGAUAUGUUGUUCAGCAUAAAGCAAAAGAUGAAAUCACACAGCGUAACGUACUUUCCAAAACACCCAGUAUCUUUAGAUGGAAUCGUCUGUUUUUUUCACGUUUGAUGUUUACCAGACGGCAAUUAAAAACAAGCUCUGCUGAGGAUUGGUUCGCCCCACUCAUCCGCCUACCUACAGAAAGACUCAGCCUCGACUGAUUUUUUUCAGCUCUCUGCUCAUGUCAAUCACAGCGUUUGCUCUCUGCAGCCUCACGCCCUAUCCUCCUUUAGGAAACAGAACAGAAAAAAGCAUAAAUAAGUGAAAGAAAAAAAAAGAAGAAACUGUCAAUCUUCCAACACGCAAAACAAAAAUCACAAAAAAUUAUAAGUAUACCACUAUUAUAGAAACAUGACACAAAUGACUGCCGAACAUGUGGCCUGCACCUCUUGAAUGAUCUCCACAUCAAAGGGAACAAAAAGAUCGAGAGAGAUAGAAAAAAACACCAACAUUGAGCACUUUCAUGGGACAGAAAGCCUCGUGAAAGCCUUAUUUGCCUUCAAAGUUCUCCAGCCAUGGGUGUAGGACGGGCUUAAGUGCACCAACAUAAGGCCCAGCUCUGUGGGUGUCAGAUUUUAGCCCACUAAUCAAAAGCUCAGAAGUCCGUCUCCGUUUGUCCAUGGAAUCAGCUCUUUGCCAAAACCUCUUUUUGAAGUAUAGACCGCAGUUGUUUUCAUGAAACUUGUGUCUCAUUUUGAAACUCGUGUCUCAUUCAGUGAAAAGGAGAAUUAAGAAAAAUAA